AUGUUUAUUAAUGUUUCUUCAUGUUUGGCAGUGAUAUGGGUUUCCAUGACCCUUCCAUGGUGCUCAGCCACCGUCCGAUUUCGAGGGAGAAUAGGAGACCCCGACGACGAAAACGAGCUUCCUAGUGGCGAACCCAAGGAUGCCGGUGAUUACGGCAGGUCCAUGCUCCAGUUCUUCUAUUGGGCUACUCCCCCAAUGGUGAAAAUCCCCUACAGAAUGGUGCUGGAUGACCUUUUAGAAUCUUUGGGCCUGCCAGUGGCUGAGUAUCAAACCAAAGCAUGCGAGGGUGGUUUGAAGUAUUCGCUCAGUUCAUGUGCUUGGGAUUUGUUUUGA
This 333-nucleotide ribosomal RNA is filed under the name Triticum aestivum (bread wheat). RNAcentral's name for it is "partial small subunit ribosomal RNA". The record is from RNAcentral. Lineage: Eukaryota; Viridiplantae; Streptophyta; Magnoliopsida; Poales; Poaceae.